ACGCUAGCUACAGGCUUAACACAUGCAAGUCGAGGGGAAACGGCAUUAAGUGCUUGCACUUUUUGGACGUCGACCGGCGCACGGGUGAGUAACGCGUAUCCAACCUUCCCAUGACUAAGGGAUAACCUGCCGAAAGGCAGACUAAUACCUUAUGGUCUUCACUGACGGCAUCAGAUGUGAAGUAAAGAUUUAUCGGUUAUGGAUGGGGAUGCGUCUGAUUAGUUAGUUGGCGGGGUAACGGCCCACCAAGGCAACGAUCAGUAGGGGUUCUGAGAGGAAGGUCCCCCACAUUGGAACUGAGACACGGUCCAAACUCCUACGGGAGGCAGCAGUGAGGAAUAUUGGUCAAUGGGCGAGAGCCUGAACCAGCCAAGUAGCGUGCAGGAUGACGGCCCUAUGGGUUGUAAACUGCUUUUGUAUGGGGAUAAAGUCAAUCACGUGUGAUUGUUUGCAGGUACCAUACGAAUAAGGACCGGCUAAUUCCGUGCCAGCAGCCGCGGUAAUACGGAAGGUCCGGGCGUUAUCCGGAUUUAUUGGGUUUAAAGGGAGCGUAGGCUGGAGAUUAAGUGUGUUGUAAAAUGUAGACGCUCAACGUCCGACUUGCAGCGCAUACUGGUUUCCUUGAGUACGCACAACGUUGGCGGAAUUCGUCGUGUAGCGGUGAAAUGCUUAGAUAUGACGAAGAACUCCGAUUGCGAAGGCAGCUGACGGGAGCGCAACUGACGCUGAAGCUCGAAGGUGCGGGUAUCGAACAGGAUUAGAUACCCUGGUAGUCCGCACAGUAAACGAUGGAUGCCCGCUGUUGGUACGUGGUAUCAGCGGCUAGCGAAAGCAUUAAGCAUCCCACCUGGGGAGUACGCCGGCAACGGUGAAACUCAAAGGAAUUGACGGGGGCCCGCACAAGCGGAGGAACAUGUGG
Molecule: ribosomal RNA, 919 nt
Filed under: uncultured bacterium
Lineage: Bacteria
Description: bacterial SSU rRNA
Rfam family: Bacterial small subunit ribosomal RNA
Source: RNAcentral